Molecule: transfer RNA, 74 nt
Filed under: Clostridium sp. ASBs410
Lineage: Bacteria; Bacillati; Bacillota; Clostridia; Eubacteriales; Clostridiaceae
Description: tRNA-Asn
Rfam family: tRNA
About the family: Transfer RNA (tRNA) molecules are approximately 80 nucleotides in length. Their secondary structure includes four short double-helical elements and three loops (D, anti-codon, and T loops).
Source: RNAcentral
UGGCUAAUAGCUCAGUCGGUUAGAGCGCCUGUCUGUUAAACAGGAUGUCGUAGGUUCAAUUCCUACUUAGCCAG